UUUUAGUUUCUGGGGUCCCCGAGCUUCGGGAAGGUGAAGCGAGCGACAGUGACCCCCCUCGCCUCUCAGCCUACCCGUGACGUCGCCUCCACAGCUUGCGGAGAAGCGGAGACCGCGGUCGCCGCUGGGCUCCACAGCGGAACGACGCGCACUCGGAGCCGGCGCGGCUCAGCGGGUUUUGGCUUUUUGCACUGAAUGUAACCUAGACUGCUCGUCUCAGUUUCCCCAGGAUACUGUCAGAGGCAGUGUUUGUGUGUAUCUGCAGAGUUUUGCACAGAGUCUGUUCCCAUGCAAACCAAUGAGGGAGAAGUAGAGGAAGAAAGCAGCUCCCAGGUGGAACAGGAGGAUUUUGUAAUGGAAGGGCAUGGCAAGACUCCACCUCCUGGAGAAGAAAGCAAACA
This is a non-coding RNA of Arvicanthis niloticus (Nile rat), 401 nucleotides long. Lineage: Eukaryota; Metazoa; Chordata; Mammalia; Rodentia; Muridae. The record is from RefSeq and is a predicted model, not a curated record.